RNAcentral lists this long non-coding RNA (346 nucleotides) under Citrus maxima (pomelo). RNAcentral's name for it is "long non-coding RNA (CMAX_LNC003077)". The record is from RNAcentral. Lineage: Eukaryota; Viridiplantae; Streptophyta; Magnoliopsida; Sapindales; Rutaceae.
GUUUAGACCUCAAUUUUCAGAGAUUUUGAUGUGGUUGUGUCUGAUUAUGGGUUUCACUUAUUAGUCUAGUUCUUGACACUAGUGGUUUUUGAGUUAUUAACAAUAUUUCAUUUUCCUUGUUUGAUACAUUGUUCUUUUCUAUGUGCAUAAUAAUAAGAGUAUUGGUGCUGGUAUAUUUAAUUAAUUUGUUCUAUGUUGUUGUUUUACACCUUAACUUCAGAAAGUUGUUUGGUAUAUAUACAACUAGUUACUUGUUGUUUUAUGUGCUCCAUUAUUGAAUUAUAAUUUUAAUCACACGAGUUUUGAUUAUCAUCUGUUAAAUAUGCCUCAUCAGCUUCAAUUAUCU